Long non-coding RNA from Nycticebus coucang (slow loris), 2467 nucleotides. RefSeq lists it as uncharacterized. The record is from RefSeq and is a predicted model, not a curated record. The transcript is spliced from 2 exons. Lineage: Eukaryota; Metazoa; Chordata; Mammalia; Primates; Lorisidae.
AGCACUGAACUGCUCUACAAAGGCUACGCUCAAAUGCGCAGAGACACCCUACGAGGCUACACUAGGAGACAGCACUGGGAGACCGCGCAAGCUAGAGCUCAAAUGCAUUUGGACACUGUGCAUGGCACUCAAAAUACACUGGGAGACCAUGCAAGACGCUCAAAUGCACUGGCAGAAGGCACAAGGCAACGCUGGGAGACUACAGGGGGCGCGCAAAUGGGCUGGGAGACCACGCGAGGCGCCCAAAUGCGCUGGCGGACGCCAUGGGGGAGCUCAAAUGCGCUGGGAGACAACACGGGGGGUUCAAAUGCACUAAGAGACCAUACGAACUGGAGCUCAAAUGAACUGGGAGACCGCGCGAGGGGCUCAAAGGCGCUGGUGGACCGCGCUGGGCGCUCAAAUGCGCUGGGAGGCCGCGCCAGCUGGAGCUCAAAUGAACUGGGAGACUGCGCGAGGGGCUAAAAAUGCGCUGGUGGACCUUCCGAGGCGCUCAAAUGCGCUGGUGGACCACGCUGGAGGCUCAAAUGCGCUGGGAGGCCGCGCCAGCUGGAGGUCAAAUGAACUGGGAGACUGCGCGAGGGGCUCAACAUGCGCUGGUGGACCUCCGGAGGCGCUCAAAGGCGCUGGUGGACCGCGCUGGGCGCUCAAAUGCGCUGGGAGGCCGCGCCAGCUGGAGCUCAAAUGAACUGGGAGACCGCCCGAGGUGCUCAAAUGCGCUGGUGCACCGCACAGGGGCGCUCCAAUGCUCUGGCAGACAACGCGGGGGCGCUCAAAUGGGCUGGGAGACCAGGCGAGCUGGAGCUCAAAUGCGCUAGGAGACUGCGCAGAACACUCCAAUGUGCUGGGAGACGAUGCGGGUGCUCAUCAACUGAGCUGGGAGCCAGCCCUCAACUGCGUUGGAAAACCAGCCAGCGUGCUCAACUGAGAUGGGAGACCUCCGCAGGACUGAGACCAGACAGCUUCGCAGGCCACAGCUCUCUCAACCUGUGGGAUCCGGUAACGCUCCUCCUGUCCUCCCACAGGAUGACUCCUUCUAUAAAAACUCCCCAGGGUCCCUCGUAACUCACAGGGCCUAUCUUCAGAUCACAUUAAAACUAUAGGACUGGCCAGGCACAGUGCUCAUGCCUGUAAUCCUAGCACUCUGCAAGGCUGAAGCGGAAAGAUCGCUUGGAGCUCAGAAAUUCAAGACCAGCCUGAGUUAGAGACCUCGGCAACCUGUACUCUCAGCUAUUUGGGAGGCUAAAGAAGGAAGAUUACUUGAACCCAGGAGUUUGAGGUUGCUAUGAGAUAGGCUAAUGGAUGCAACUGUACUCUACUCUGGGUGACAGAGUGAGACGGUAUCAAAAAAGAAGUCUAAAACCAAAGAACUGAUAUUUGGGAUGUUAGAAGGAAUAUCAACAUAUUUGGUAGGUAUAUUGCAAUGUUUAAUAUGAACUCCAAAGUUUAUACUGAUUUAAUCUUGUGACAUAGUAUUAGACUAAGAAAAUGUUAAGUUUAUCAUAUUUACAAUGUUAAACUGUUACAUUUAUAAGAAUUAUUGCCAUACUAAAGUUUUUCAGUUGUUAAUUCAGACAUCUGAAGGACUCAAAAAAGGCAAAUCAAAUAUGGCUGACCAUCGACCGGAGUCCUCUCGGUCACAGAUUUUCUUUCUCUUCUCCAACCCCUGGAGACAGAAAAACCAACCUCUCCUCUCCCUUUCCUCAGCCUACUCAAUGUGAAGACAAUGGUGGAAACUGUUAUGAUGUCUUCCAUUUGCACUUAGUAAAUGUAUUUUCUCUUCCUUAUGAUUAUUUGAUUGUUUGUUGUUGUUUUGCAGUUUGAAUCCACCACCUCCGGUAUAUGGGGUCGGUGCCCUACCUACUCUUUGAGCCACAGGCGCCAUGUGGUUUUUUGGGGGUUUUUUUCACACCUUAAAUUAGGUUUAAAAAAUAGUACAUUACUGGGGCGGCACCUGUGGCUCAGUGGGUAGGACGCCGGACCCAUAUACCGAGGGUGGCGGGUUCAAGCCCGGCCCCAGCCAAACUGCAACAAGGAAAUAGUCGGGCAUUGUGGUAGGUGCCUGUAGUCCCAGCUACCCCAGAGGCUGAGGCAAGAGAAUCGCCUAAGCCCAGGAGUUGGAGGUUGCUGUGAGCUGUGUGACACCACGGCACUCUACCGAGAGCGAUAAAGUGAGACUCUGUCUAUACAAAAAAAAAAAGUACAUUACUGGGCCCCUAUGGCUCAGUAGAUAGGGUGCCAGCCCCAUAUAUUGAGGAUGAGGGGUUUGAACCCAACCCCGGCCAACUAAAACAGCAAUGAGAAUUGCAACAAAAAAUAGCCGGGCAUUGUGGUGGGCGCCUGUGGUCCCAGAUAUUCAGGAAGCUGAGGCAAGAGAAUCACUUAAGCCCAAGAGCUGGAGGUUGCUGUGAGCUGUGACAACACAGCACUCCACCAAGGGUGACAUAGUGAGACUCUGUGUCAAAAACAA